Molecule: ribosomal RNA, 254 nt
Filed under: uncultured bacterium
Lineage: Bacteria
Description: partial 16S ribosomal RNA
Rfam family: Bacterial small subunit ribosomal RNA
Source: RNAcentral
UAACGAAGGGGGCUAGCGUUGCUCGGAAUGACUGGGCGUAAAGGGCGCGUAGGCGGCUCAUACAGUCAGAUGUGAAAUUCCUGGGCUUAACCUGGGGGCUGCAUUUGAUACGUGUGGGCUUGAGUGGGGAAGAGGGUCGUGGAAUUCCCAGUGUAGAGGUGAAAUUCGUAGAUAUUGGGAAGAACACCGGUGGCGAAGGCGGCGACCUGGUCCUUGACUGACGCUGAGGCGCGAAAGCGUGGGGAGCAAACAGG